UUUAACCUAACUUUGAAUGAAAAAUAAAAAAUAAAAAAUAAUUUUAAUUCAAAAUAAGGAUGUUUUAGUAAUUUAAUAUAUAUAAAUUAAAAAAAAAAUAAAAAGUUGAGGGGUGGCCGUGACCUUCCCACGUCCCCCCUCAGUUCCGCCACUGAUGAUGAAGGAGUUUUAAUACUUCAUUAAAUUACAAACACAUCAAUAAAAGAA
Molecule: long non-coding RNA, 207 nt
Filed under: Lathyrus oleraceus (garden pea)
Lineage: Eukaryota; Viridiplantae; Streptophyta; Magnoliopsida; Fabales; Fabaceae
Description: Pisum sativum (pea) long non-coding RNA (PSAT_LNC024508)
Source: RNAcentral